GAUGAACGCUGGCGGCGUGCCUAAUACAUGCAAGUCGAGCGAACGGACGAGAAGCUUGCUUCUCUGAUGUUAGCGGCGGACGGGUGAGUAACACGUGGAUAACCUACCUAUAAGACUGGGAUAACUUCGGGAAACCGGAGCUAAUACCGGAUAAUAUUUUGAACCGCAUGGUUCAAAAGUGAAAGACGGUCUUGCUGUCACUUAUAGAUGGAUCCGCGCUGCAUUAGCUAGUUGGUAAGGUAACGGCUUACCAAGGCAACGAUGCAUAGCCGACCUGAGAGGGUGAGCGGCCACACUGGAACUGAGACACGGUCCAGACUCCUACGGGAGGCAGCAGUAGGGAAUCUUCCGCAAUGGGCGAAAGCCUGACGGAGCAACGCCGCGUGAGUGAUGAAGGUCUUCGGAUCGUAAAACUCUGUUAUUAGGGAAGAACAUAUGUGUAAGUAACUGUGCACAUCUUGACGGUACCUAAUCAGAAAGCCACGGCUAACUACGG
This 496-nucleotide ribosomal RNA is filed under the name uncultured bacterium. Its description in RNAcentral is "partial 16S ribosomal RNA". It matches the Rfam family "Bacterial small subunit ribosomal RNA", at positions 28 to 506 of the family's 1533-position model. The record is from RNAcentral.